Oryzias melastigma (Indian medaka) is the source of this 3679-nucleotide long non-coding RNA. RefSeq lists it as uncharacterized. The transcript is spliced from 5 exons. NCBI's taxonomy places the organism in Eukaryota, Metazoa, Chordata, Actinopteri, Beloniformes, Adrianichthyidae. The record is from RefSeq and is a predicted model, not a curated record.
CUGAAUUUGUGGGUUUGUGGAUUAUUCAAGUUUUGUUAAUUUCACAAGUUAUUGCAGUAAAUGUAACUUAGUACAAGUACACUUUUCUGAGAAUAAAAAAACAUGUACCAAAUAACUACAAUGGGUUCUUAUUUGAUUAAUCAAACUACAAUAGUGUUAAAUGUUAAUUUUAUCUUCAGACUUUUGUUUCAGAAAUUAUUUUUUUUUGUAUUUAUUUGAAAAUUUGAUUUGAAAUCAGUAAAAGUAGUAUUUGUAAUGAUGUUUUAUAGUUUAAUAAAAAAAUACUUAAAACCACAUAUUUAUUAAUAUAAAUGUAUUUCUUGUGUAUUUCAUUUUAACUAGACUAGACGCCUGUAAUGCAGAAUCAACCAGUCUCUCAAUCCAGGAGCUGUUUGUCCAACAGUGAAGAUCCAAGACCAGACUUCAGAGUGAACAGGAACUCUCCUGCAGUCUUCCUGAACCUCCUUGAUCAGGAUCGGUGACAUUGGCAUCCUCCUGCAGGUGCUGGAGCUGCAUCACACCUCUGUACCUCAUGUUGUCACAGCGUGUGCCAUCCUCCACAACAUCUGCCUCUGUGUUGACGACAACGAGGCCCCAGAGGAAGAUGUGGAGGUGAUGAGGAGGACGCUGGUUUGGAGAUCACAGUGAUGCUCUCUGGCAGGACCAACUACCGGCUGAGGUUUCUGCCCUGGGGGAGGUACCACCUUGAUUACUGGUAACAGCAUCCGUCCACAGCCAGCCCUGUAAACCCUGAAGAUAGAUGAUACAGUCUACAGUGAAGAUGAUCCUGAAACUCUCUGCAGACCACCUUGCAAGAUGUUCAAUCACCACUCAGAAAGUUCCAGCCCGGGUCUCAGUCGAAGCCCCCCAUCCAUGUCAACUAUCUUUGUAAGUAGUUGGAAAUAAAACUUACAAUUAAUCCAUGACAAACCCGGCCUCGGGAGGUCGCAGCACCUGAAUUUGGACACAGCCAAAACUCAGUGAUCACUAAAAAUUCCCAAGUACAAUACUGCAUGAUCUUUUUUUCUCUAUUUUGGACGAAUGAAAAUCUCAUUGAUAUGUGAUAGAAUGACAGACACGGUUUAAAGUUGUUCCUUCAGUUUGAUCGUUUUGAUUUUUCAUUUGUUGGAAACAGGAAAAGAUGAGAAGUGAGUGCAUUUUUUUAAACAACAGAGCAUGAAAGAGAGGCCCUGGGUCUGCAAAUCACUGAUUAAAGCUAUUGAUUAAUGUAUUUAGACUGAUCGAGGUAGAGCACAUGUAUUAACUAGGCUAGGCACAUUUUUUAUAUAUAUAUAUAUAUAUAUAUAUAUAUUUUUUUUUUUUAAUGCCGGCUUUGGUACAGAGAAGCAAUGGUGUGAGACAGUUGCUAAUGCUAUAAGGCACGUUCUCUUAUAACUGUUUAUGGCCAUUUAAGAUAAAUAAGUUAAGAAAAUACAAGGUAGCUUUUAGAAUGAUGUCACAGCAGCAGGCGCGCAUGGAUAGGGAUGCUUGAUGUAAGUUAACUUUCUGAAGUGCUUUACUUUAAGAAAUGUAAGGGAUACAUUUUAAAUCAAACUUAAUUAUCAAUACUAUAACAUUGUUCAUAUAACAUUGUUCAUCAAUAUUCAGACUAAAAAUUAGAUCUGCAUUAUUGGUGUAAAAGAACUCUGAUUUACUUUAUGAUUUCACUAUGACAAAAGUGUUUUUAACAUGUACUUGUUUUUGGAAGCCAUGGAAGCCAUAUUACAAUAAAAUUUGCAACAAGAUUGUGUUUUUAGCAUGUCUUAUUUAAAACCUUUUUAAAUUGAGAGCAGAUGAAAAAUGUGUUUUGAUAAAGCUUGUUAUUCUGUAAAAUCUACAAUGAAUAACCCCAGUGAAAUAGGUCAGAUUUAUUUAUCUAUCCUACAAUUCAAUUCCAAGGAUGAAAGGACCAAGCAGAGGAUCAAACAAGUAUGUCAGCCAAAACCAUGUUGACUGGGACAUGGAACUCGCUGCUGUUGUGUAUCAACACUACAAAGAAGGUAUUCUUGCAAUGACGUUUUGGAUUUUGCACAUGGUAAUGCCUAGUACGAUCCUUUUUCUAAGAAUGUAUUUUCUAAGAAUGUAUUUUCAAAUAUAAGUUUAAAAAAAAAAAAUUGAUGAAUGUAAGAGAAAAAAAUAAAUGCAGACAUUUUGUGAUCAGAACUCCACCUGCCAGUCCCUAUUUCCUGCUCUUCCAUCGACAUCUUCCAGCUGUGAUGAACACUGGACCAAUGAAUUGAAGUUGAACAUACUGAACAGAACAGCAGUAUACAAGUAGUCUUUUCACACUGGUAUUUUUCUCAAAGGCAUGGACAUAGAUGCACCAUCUGGACACAAGAAGCACUGAUACUUCUCCAGGGAACUCUCCAGCCUGUCUUCUGAAUUCCAAAGACUACUGCACCCAAACCUGCCUUUUCUUAUUUGAAUUUUUUUAAUUUCACAGGACAACGUGAAGACAGAAGAAGUGAGGGCAUUUUAUCCUAACACUUUUUGUGUCAAAUAAACUGUUGAUAGAUUUGAUUGUUUGCUUUUUAUUUGAAAAUAUCAUGAGUAAAAUAACCAUUGGGACAGAUAAUGACAUAGCAUUAUCGUAUAUGGGCUGAACAAAACUUAAGGUAUAGCUGUUUGAUUCUGCUCAGAAUGAUUAUGAGGUUUUUUAAAUUUUUUUAUUUAAAGUUUUGAUUUUGGGGGAGUUGAAGCAGAUGCAUCGCUGUCGCAGUAACUUGGUAUUUUUCCCUAAAUUACAUUCAGGCACUGUGUCCAAAAGUCAGAAAAAAGGGUUCAAGCUCUUUUUUAUAUUAGUUUUAGUUAGUCUAAUGGAAAUAUUAAUUUAGAAACUGCAUUACAGCUUGUAAAAUAUACAGAUACUGCAUUUGUGGAUUUGUACAUUAUCCAAGAAUUGUUUAUUUCACAAGUUAUUGAAGUAUAUGCAACUUAGUAGAAGUACCUGCCUUUUUCUGAGGAUUAAAAAAUAUAUAUAAAUUAAAACUAAAUGGAUUUAUUUUAUUAAUCAGACUAUAAUAGUGUAAAGUGUUAAUUUUAUCUGACAUUUCUUGCAGAAUUUUAUUUUUUAUUUUAAGUUACUCUCAAUUUAAAUCAGUAAACGUAGUAUUCAAGUAUUUUGUUAUUCCCAUAUUCACCUAAAUAUGAUUUUUUAUAGUUUAACAAAAAUAAUUAAAAUCACAUAUUGUUUAAUAAAAAUGUGUUUCUUGUUUUUUCUUUUUAACCAGACAUCUGCUUUCCUCCUUGACCAGGAUCGGUGAUAUGUGUCCUGCAAGUGCUGAAGGUUGUCGCAGCUAGUGCAAUCUUCCACAGCAUCCGCUCCUGUGCUGAUGACACCGUGGCCCCAGAAGACGAUGAUGGAGCUGGUUUGGAAGCCAUCAGCGCUGCUCUCUGUCAGGACCAACUAUCUGCUGAAGUUUCUGCCCUCGGGGAGUUACCACCUGACCAUGAUUACUGGUUACAAGUAGUCGAAUACAUCCGUCGGCAGCCAGUCCUGCAAACCCUGAAGAUGGACGAUGCUGUGGACAGAGAAGAUCCAUCCUGAAACUCUGCAGACCAGCCUGCAAGACGUUACACUCACCACCCAGAAAGUUCCAGCCCGGGUCUCAGUUGAAGCACAUCAUCCGUGUUGACCAUCUUUGUAAUAGUUGUAAAUAAAAGUGUUGCAAUGAAUUCA